CCUACGGGGUGCAGCAGUGGGGAAUAUUGGGCAAUGGGCGCAAGCCUGACCCAGCAACGCCGCGCGAGGGAUGAAGGUUUUCGGAUCGUAAACCUCUUUCAGGAGGGAAGAAAGCGCAUGGCGCCAAUCAGCCAUGCGUUGACCGUACCUCCACAGGAAGCGCCGGCUAACUCCGUGCUAGCAGCCGCGGUAAUACGGAGGGCGCGAGCGUUAAUCGGAAUUACUGGGGGUAAAGCGCGCGUAGGCUGUUGUGUAAGUUGGGGGUGAAAUCCCACGGCUCAACCGUGGAACAGCCCUUGAUACGGCGCGACGUGAAUCCGGGAGAGGGUGGCGGAAUUCCAGGUGUAGGAGUGAAAUCCGUAGAUAGUUGGAGGAACAUCAGUGGCGAAGGCGGCCACCUGGACCGGUAUUGACGCUGAGGCGCGAAAGCGUGGGGAGCAAACAGGAUUAGAUACCCCUGUAGUC
RNAcentral lists this ribosomal RNA (465 nucleotides) under uncultured bacterium. Its description in RNAcentral is "partial 16S ribosomal RNA". It matches the Rfam family "Bacterial small subunit ribosomal RNA", at positions 338 to 795 of the family's 1533-position model. The record is from RNAcentral.